This 316-nucleotide ribosomal RNA is filed under the name uncultured bacterium. RNAcentral describes it as "bacterial SSU rRNA". It matches the Rfam family "Bacterial small subunit ribosomal RNA", at positions 28 to 334 of the family's 1533-position model. The record is from RNAcentral.
GACGAACGCUGGCGGCAUGCCUAAUACAUGCAAGUCGAACGCUGAAGCACUCUGCUUGCAGAGUGCGGAUGAGUGGCGAACGGGUGAGUAACACGUGGGAAAUCUACCUAAAAGUGGGGGAUAACAUUCGGAAACGGAUGCUAAUACCGCAUAUCUUCAAGAACCGCAUGGUUCCUGAACGAAAGACGGCUUCGGCUGUCGCUCUUAGAUGAUCCCGCGGCGUAUUAGUUAGUUGGUGGGGUAAAGGCCUACCAAGACAAUGAUACGUAGCCGACCUGAGAGGGUGAUCGGCCACACUGGGACUGAGACGGCCCAG